GCUGCAAUUGUCCCAUUUGUUUGAGGUAGACGAAACACCCUUUCAAAAACAAAAGUGUCACACAUGAUUAGUAUACUGUAAGUCUGUAAUCUUUUGCAAUGAUUUUGUAGAGCUGCACUGAGUCAUCGCAGAUGGCAACUCCCCAUCCAUGCACCGCACUGACCAUGCCUCACGAGAGCUGCACUGAGUCAUCGCAGAUGGCAACUCCCCAUCCAUGCACCGCACUGACCAUGCCUCACGUACAGUCUACUGAUGAGGAACCCACAUUCCCUGGACUGGACAACACAGAGUUCAUGAAGGGGCUGGACGUCAUUGAGGGCAAUGUGUCAGUGUACCUUGCUGGCUAUGUGGCCUUCAGAGCCUCUGCCAAAUUUGAUUGCAAGAGUUGUGUUACGCUGUGGGAGGCAAACGAGGAGGACAGAGAUACACUCAAGGAGAAAUACACCUUUUUCAGAUAUAAGCAGUUCAGGGAUGGGUUAUUCCCACCAAGUGUUGUAUUACAGCGUACAACAGAGCAAAUUGAACACAUUUUUAGAUGCCAAUACCCCCACAUUUCUAAAGGGAAACAUGUCCUGGCACUCUUAAAAUCUGCAGUAUAUCAGAGUGUGAAUUUGGAUGCUGUUAUAUGUUCCGCCAGCUGUCUGUCCUGCAAAGAGUUCCUUGUUAAUACAUACUUAUUGAUGAGGAUAAAAUUUCAACUGAAGGUGGGCAAUCAGAACGCCAAAGCCAUGAAAACAAAGAAAUCAAGAAAAUUAAUGAAAUUGACAUCGGAAUUUUGACCCCCCCACCCCCACCCACACACACACACACACCUUUUUUACAUGAUUGGUAUUGAUUCCAGCCCCUGAUCACAGUCAGGAACAAUAAUGUGGCCCCCAGAUUUAAAAAAAAGUUUGGGGACCCCUGGCCUACAGUAGCUUCAGGUUGCAAUGAACGACGGGCUGUGCAUACUGCUGAAGACACCCAGGUGGAGCAGUGCAUGUUAUCUUGCUCCGACAACUAAUUUUUUAAUUAUUUUUUUUUUUACAAGGAAUGUGUAAUCUAUAUAAACAAUGCUAAUUAAAUAAACAUAGCCAUCAUCAAGUUUA
Molecule: long non-coding RNA, 1088 nt
Organism: Engraulis encrasicolus (European anchovy)
Lineage: Eukaryota; Metazoa; Chordata; Actinopteri; Clupeiformes; Engraulidae
Exons: 2
Source: RefSeq, a predicted model, not a curated record